GGAUCAUUAUAGAGUUAUACAACUCCAAACCCAUGUGAACAUACCUAUUGUUGCUUCGGCAGGUCGCGAGACUGCUGGGAAGGGCCUCCCCUUAAACCGGGCGGCCUACCCGGGAGCCCGCGGGCAAGCCUGCCGGUAGCCCUUUAAACUCUGUUUUAGCAUUGAAUCUCUGAAUCAUAACUAAAUAAGUUAAAACUUUCAACAACGGAUCUCUUGGUUCUGGCAUCGAUGAAGAACGCAGCGAAAUGCGAUAAGUAAUGUGAAUUGCAGAAUUCAGUGAAUCAUCGAAUCUUUGAACGCACAUUGCGCCCAUUAGUAUUCUAGUGGGCAUGCCUGUUCGAGCGUCAUUUCAACCCUUAAGCCCCUGUUGCUUAGUGUUGGGAGCCUACGCGUCAGCGUAGCUCCUCAAAGUUAGUGGCAGAGUCAGUUCAAACUCUAGGUGUAGUAAAUCUCUUCUCGCCUCUGUAGUUGGGCUGCCCCUCGCCGUAAAACACCCCGAUUUUUUUAAAGGUUGACCUCGGAUCAGGUAGGAAUACCCGCUGAACUUAAGCAUAUCAAUAAGCGGAGGAAAAGAAACCAACAGGGAUUGCCCUAGUAACGGCGAGUGAAGCGGCAACAGCUCAAAUUUGAAAUCUGGCCUUCGGGUCCGAGUUGUAAUUUGUAGAGGAUGCUUUUGGCGCGGUGCCUUCCGAGUUCCCUGGAACGGGACGCCUUAGAGGGUGAGAGCCCCGUACGGUUGGACACCAAGCCUCUGUAAAGCUCCUUCGACGAGUCGAGUAGUUUGGGAAUGCUGCUCUAAAUGGGAGGUAAAUUUCUUCUAAAGCUAAAUAUUGGCCAGAGACCGAUAGCGCACAAGUAGAGUGAUCGAAAGAUGAAAAGCACUUUGAAAAGAGGGUUAAAUAGCACGUGAAAUUGUUGAAAGGGAAGCGUUUGCGACCAGACCUUUUCCUGGCGGAUCAUCCGGUGUUCUCACCGGUGCACUUCGCCAGGUUGAGGCCAGCAUCGGUUUCUGUAGGGGGAUAAAAGCUUGGGGAAUGUAGCUCCCUCGGGAGUGUUAUAGCCCCUUGCAUAAUACCCUUACGGGGACCGAGGACCGCGCU
This 1100-nucleotide ribosomal RNA is filed under the name Xylariaceae sp. genotype 211. RNAcentral describes it as "eukaryotic LSU rRNA". The stretch from base 513 to 1100 matches the Rfam family "Eukaryotic large subunit ribosomal RNA", at positions 1 to 599 of the family's 3401-position model. The record is from RNAcentral. Lineage: Eukaryota; Fungi; Ascomycota; Sordariomycetes; Xylariales; Xylariaceae.